Molecule: ribosomal RNA, 253 nt
Filed under: uncultured bacterium
Lineage: Bacteria
Description: partial 16S ribosomal RNA
Rfam family: Bacterial small subunit ribosomal RNA
Source: RNAcentral
UACAGAGGGGGCAAGCGUUAUUCGGAAUUAUUGGGCGUAAAGGGCGCGUAGGCGGCCUGGCAAGUGGAAGGUGAAAUCCCUCGGCUUAACCGAGGAACUGCCCUCCAAACUGCUUGGCUUGAGUCCGGGAGAGGUGAGUGGAAUUCCCAGUGUAGCGGUGAAAUGCGCAGAUAUCGGGAGGAACACCGGUGGCGAAGGCGGUUCUCUGGGCCUGUACUGACGCUGAGGAGCGAAAGCGUGGGGAGCGAACAGG